This 73-nucleotide transfer RNA is filed under the name Doniophyton anomalum. RNAcentral's name for it is "tRNA-Glu". It matches the Rfam family "tRNA". From Rfam's summary of the family: Transfer RNA (tRNA) molecules are approximately 80 nucleotides in length. The record is from RNAcentral. Lineage: Eukaryota; Viridiplantae; Streptophyta; Magnoliopsida; Asterales; Asteraceae.
GCCCCUAUCGUCUAGCGGUCCAGGAUUUCUCUCUUUCAAGGAGAAGGGGGAGGUUCGAGUCCUCCUGGGGGUG